This 824-nucleotide small RNA is filed under the name Pan troglodytes (chimpanzee). RNAcentral's name for it is "processed transcript". The record is from RNAcentral. Lineage: Eukaryota; Metazoa; Chordata; Mammalia; Primates; Hominidae.
GCGGGUCCUGCAGGCGGUAGCCAGAGCUGCGCGCCGCGGCGGCGGAAGAUGGCUGCGGCCGAGGUGGCGGACACUCAGCUGAUGCUUGGAGUCGGGCUGAUCGCUCUCACCAAGGACCGAGGGGCCUUGGGAAACGUCUGACGCCCACUUCACGGAGGAACAAAUGGAGGCCCAGGCCGUCAUUGUGCACGGACACACCAUAGGCAGUACAGAGCCGGGAGUGGGACCCUCGCAGUGUAGCCCAGAGCCCCCAACCCCCACCAGUGGAGAGCUCCUGCAUCAUGUGAUCGAGCUUGUGCAUAAAUAAAGCAGGAGUUUCUACACAAUCCUGUGUGGUGGAAUCUCGGUUAGCUCUGAGGAAUACGGGGUCUCCCUCUUAUCCAGGCUGGAGUGCAGUAGCUCAAUCACCGCUCUCUGCAGCCUCCACCUCCCAGGCCCAAACCGUCCUCCCGCCUCGGCCUCCGAGUAGCUGGGACCUCAGGCGUGCACCACCACCCGAUUAAUUUUUGUAUUUUUUGUGGAGAUGGGAUACCGACAUGUUGUCCAGAAAAGGACACAAAUGGAGAAGUUCUGUGGGUGUGGUGUUAUCCUUCCACGACAGCCACAUUAAGGAACCUGCUGCUGAGAAAAUGCUGCCUUACAGAUGAAAACAAACUUCUCCAUCCCUUUGUCUUUGGUCAGUACAGAAGAACAUGGUUUUAUAUCACAACAAUUGAAGUUCCAGAUUCUUCCAUUUUGAAAAAGGUGACUCAUUUUUCUAUUGUCCUGACCGCCAAAGAUUUUAACCCAGAGAAGUAUGCUGCCUUCACUAGGAUAUUGUGUAG